GCAGCCAGAAACACCAACACACACACACACACACACACACCUGUCCUUCACUCUUUGUAAAAACACCUGUACCUGCAUAGGUCAUUUCUAGCCAAGAUGGUGGGUGUCCCACAGGGCUUCAAAAAGUUGCGUUGGGAAUGUGCAGUGGUUAGUGUAGCCUCUUCUGGUCUGGCCGUUUGGGGAUGAUGGGGUUUGUACUCUAGCCCCCAGCUCCCCUUUUUGAGGGCACCAGCACAGAGCACACGGAACAGACCCAUUGGAAUGAAUCGGGAGGCUUAACGCCAGUUAGGAAGGCGUGGACGUUUCUCCCCUUUGAUUUUCAGUGGGUCUCUUGGGAAUCUCGGGGGAGACCCUGGUCCGGAUCUCCCUUCAACCGAGAAGGGAGAGGGGAUAAUAAUCCCCGAGUCCCAGUCCAGCUGCUCGCACAGGCUCCUUGGAAACCCAAAAUGGUAGUCAAGGACGCCGCCUUGAGCUCACAGGAGGAAAGGCGUCACAAUCCUGCCACCAAUACAACAGAAAAUAAAUGAUCUGGCUACGGAUGCUCUGCUAAGGAGACUGUUAAAACAAUGGAUUUAACUUUUCAGAAAACCUGGGCAGGAUCUGCACCGUCCCUCUCCGAUCCUACCCACUGUUACCGGAGAGUAAACCCAAUGGAAAAAAAAAUGCAAUUAAUAAGAAUUCGCACCGAGGCGGUGCUAGUGGGAUUUCCUCUAAGUGGACGCCUCGGGCGAGUUGAUUAAGACCCACCCUCACGGAAAACAAUGGGUGCACAUAAACAGACAAGACGGGACCCGAUUCUGCAGCGGCCGAUCGUUUGCAUUUCCUCCCAUUUCCAUGGUGGAAUUCUGAACGAGGAUCAAAGAUCUCUGAUGCCGCAAACAGACUUUCUUGUAUAAACCCUAGCGCACGCUGGCUCUUCCUUCCAGGUCAACACGUGAAGGAUCGGGCCGGCACUGUACGUGGAUCGCGCCCUUCAACCCAAACAGCUGCGGAUGGCGUGAAAUUAUAAGAAUAGUUCCUGUCGGUCUCCUCCGUUUUUGAUCCUAGGGAAGCAAACCGGCUCAAGAGGAGAUCUCCGCACCAGGAAGAAAGUUCUGUUUUCUUCCGAGUAAAGCAUUAACAACGUUAUGCCCGAAAUAGUGCUUAGUAGGAAGGAAGACCAAGUAGACUCAAUAGAUUUCUCUUUCUUUCCAUUUUAAUCUUGGGCCCAAAUUUGCUGAGGAAUAAUAAUAAAAACAACUGCGUGUUACUAGUUUUUUUGUUU
Molecule: long non-coding RNA, 1264 nt
Filed under: Pogona vitticeps (central bearded dragon)
Lineage: Eukaryota; Metazoa; Chordata; Lepidosauria; Squamata; Agamidae
Description: lncRNA (ENSPVIG00000005788.1)
Source: RNAcentral